This 348-nucleotide ribosomal RNA is filed under the name Phialocephala fortinii. RNAcentral's name for it is "SSU rRNA". It matches the Rfam family "Eukaryotic small subunit ribosomal RNA", at positions 20 to 372 of the family's 1831-position model. The record is from RNAcentral. Lineage: Eukaryota; Fungi; Ascomycota; Leotiomycetes; Helotiales; Mollisiaceae.
GUAGUCAUAUGCUUGUCUCAAAGAUUAAGCCAUGCAUGUCUAAGUAUAAGCAACUAUACUGUGAAACUGCGAAUGGCUCAUUAAAUCAGUUAUCGUUUAUUUGAUAGUACCUUACUACUUGGAUAACCGUGGUAAUUCUAGAGCUAAUACAUGCGAAAAACCUCGACUUCGGAAGGGGUGUAUUUAUUAGAUAAAAAACCAAUGCCCUUCGGGGCUCUCUGGUGAUUCAUAAUAACUAAACGAAUCGCAUGGCCUUGCGCCGGCGAUGGUUCAUUCAAAUUUCUGCCCUAUCAACUUUCGAUUGUUGAGUAGUGGUUAACAAUGGUUUCAACGGGUAACGGGGAAUGA